RNAcentral lists this ribosomal RNA (120 nucleotides) under uncultured bacterium. RNAcentral describes it as "partial 16S ribosomal RNA". It matches the Rfam family "Bacterial small subunit ribosomal RNA", at positions 28 to 156 of the family's 1533-position model. The record is from RNAcentral.
GACGAACGCUGGCGGCGCGCUUAACACAUGCAAGUCGAACGGGUGCCUUCGGGCGCCAGUGGCGAACGGGUGCGUAACACGUGAGUGACCUGCCCCUGUGCGGGGGAUAACCCGGGGAAA